RNAcentral lists this ribosomal RNA (529 nucleotides) under Pseudarthrobacter oxydans. RNAcentral describes it as "bacterial SSU rRNA". It matches the Rfam family "Bacterial small subunit ribosomal RNA", at positions 384 to 923 of the family's 1533-position model. The record is from RNAcentral. Lineage: Bacteria; Bacillati; Actinomycetota; Actinomycetes; Micrococcales; Micrococcaceae.
UGAUGCAGCGACGCCGCGUGAGGGAUGACGGCCUUCGGGUUGUAAACCUCUUUCAGUANGGAAGAAGCGUAAGUGACGGUACCUGCAGAAGAAGCGCCGGCUAACUACGUGCCAGCAGCCGCGGUAAUACGUAGGGCGGAAGCGUUAUCCGGAAUUAUUGUCGGUAAAGAGCUCGUAGGCGGUUUGUCGCGUCUGCCGUGAAAGUCCGGGGCUCAACUCCGGAUCUGCGGUGGGUACGGGCAGACUAGAGUGAUGUAGGGGAGACUGGAAUUCCUGGUGUAGCGGUGAAAUGCGCAGAUAUCAGGAGGAACACCGAUGGCGAAGGCAGGUCUCUGGGCAUUAACUGACGCUGAGGAGCGAAAGCAUGGGGAGCGAACAGGAUUAGAUACCCUGGUAGUCCAUGCCGUAAACGUUGGGCACUAGGUGUGGGGGACAUUCCACGUUUUCCGCGCCGUAGCUAACGCAUUAAGUGCCCCGCCUGGGGAGUACGGCCGCAAGGCUAAAACUCAAAGGAAUUGAGUUCAGCUCG